Lagenorhynchus albirostris (white-beaked dolphin) is the source of this 73-nucleotide non-coding RNA. The record is from the annotation of a RefSeq genome assembly. NCBI's taxonomy places the organism in Eukaryota, Metazoa, Chordata, Mammalia, Artiodactyla, Delphinidae.
UCCCUGAUAGUCCAGUGGUUAGGACUCUGCACUUUUACUGCCGAGGGUCUAGGUUGGAUGCCUGGUCGGGGAA